AUUGAACGCUGGCGGCAUGCCUUACACAUGCAAGUCGAACGGUAACAGGUCUUCGGAUGCUGACGAGUGGCGAACGGGUGAGUAAUACAUCGGAACGUGCCUAGUAGUGGGAUAACUACUCGAAAGAGUGGCUAAUACCGCAUGAGAUCUACGGAUGAAAGCAGGGGAUCGCAAGACCUUGUGCUACUAGAGCGGCCGAUGGCAGAUUAGGUAGUUGGUGGGAUAAAAGCUUACCAAGCCGACGAUCUGUAGCUGGUCUGAGAGGACGAUCAGCCACACUGGGACUGAGAAACGGCCCAGACUCCUACGGGAGGCAGCAGUGGGGAAUUUUGGACAAUGGGCGCAAGCCUGAUCCAGCAAUGCCGCGUGCAGGAUGAAGGCCUUCGGGUUGUAAACUGCUUUUGUACGGAACGAAAAGCCCCGGGCUAAUACCCUGGGGUCAUGACGGUACCGUAAGAAUAAGCACCGGCUAACUACGUGCCAGCCGCCGCAGUAA
This 496-nucleotide ribosomal RNA is filed under the name uncultured bacterium. Its description in RNAcentral is "partial 16S ribosomal RNA". It matches the Rfam family "Bacterial small subunit ribosomal RNA", at positions 30 to 523 of the family's 1533-position model. The record is from RNAcentral.